CAGUAGCCGCGGGAAUACGGAGGGGGCUAGCGUUGUUCGGAAUUACUGGGCGUAAAGCGCACGUAGGCGGCUUGGUAAGUUAGAGGUGAAAGCCCGGAGCUCAACUCCGGAAUUGCCUUUAAGACUGCCGAGCUAGCAGGUGAGAGAGGUAAGUGGAAUUCCGAGUGUAGAGGUGAAAUUCGUAGAUAUUCGGAAGAACACCAGUGGCGAAGGCGGCUUACUGGCUCAUACUGGACGCUGAGGUGCGAAAGCGUGGGGAGCAAACAGGAUUAGAUACCCCGGUAGUCCCUGUCUCUUAUAA
This 301-nucleotide ribosomal RNA is filed under the name uncultured bacterium. RNAcentral describes it as "partial 16S ribosomal RNA". It matches the Rfam family "Bacterial small subunit ribosomal RNA", at positions 509 to 809 of the family's 1533-position model. The record is from RNAcentral.